CUUUGAUUGCAUACUGGCAUGUAUAAAGAACGGUGGUGCCAGCAAGAGUAGGGAGUUGAUCAUCCACCUGUACUCAGCUCUGGUGAGGCCACACCUUCAGUACUGUGUUCAGUUUUGGGCCCUUCACUACAAGAAAGACAUUGAGGCCCUGGAGUGUAUCCAGAGAAGAGAAACUGUGUGUGAACUCUCCUCCCUUCUGCUCAGCCCGACUGCAUGUCUCACCUCAGCAUUAGAGUCCCUGAGGAUAGAGAGCAAGGAAGAUAUGCCCUUGGUUCACCUAUUUCAAGAGGAUCAGAUCAAGGUAUAUUUAAGCAAAUUGAAGCUGGGCCCUGAUGGAAUGCAAUCCACAAUAACUGAGGGAUUCUCAACUGGUUAACCCCAAAAGAAAUCUAGUCAAAAGGAAAGAAAUCAGCUUAAGGAAAAUAUAAUUUACCGUUUGUGCAAAACAAUUAUUAAAACAUACCAAUAAUUCAUUUUUUCAUGCAAUAAAAAGGAAAUGUGUAAGUAGAGUAGGAAUAAGCCAGCCUUUCCUACAGCAAACCUACACAGCUUCAAGUAUGCUGGAGUAUGUAUGCCCUUCAGAAUAUACAACACUAUUCAUGUUUCCAACAUGCUAUUGAAUCAUAGAAAAUGGCUCGGAUGGUAAACCAGGACAAUUCAGAGCACGCUAUGCUUAUGACCUCUCUAAAGUACAUAGAAAAAUGAUGUAGAUGUAGUUAGUUAGUAAAGUGCUAAACAAGACUUCUGUCAGAAAGAAUAUAAAGAGCUGCCUAUCAUUUUAUACAUCCAUGUCAGUGAUAACUAGAAACACUGCUU
This 816-nucleotide long non-coding RNA is filed under the name Gallus gallus (chicken). RNAcentral describes it as "lncRNA (ENSGALG00010006189.1)". The record is from RNAcentral. Lineage: Eukaryota; Metazoa; Chordata; Aves; Galliformes; Phasianidae.